GGGGAUGUUAUGGAUUCGACAUAUAUAGUUGAGCACUGAUUGCAUCUCGUAGGUUACGUCUACGUAAAAACGUUACAGUUAAAUUAUAACUGCAAAAAAUAAUAACAAUUCUUACGCUUUAGCUGCUUAAAAACAGUUAUUAGUGUGAUCCUUUUAGCUUUGCUCAAGGGUUAAAUUGGGUCUUAAAAAAUUGAGCUACGUUUAAUUGCGCCACCUGAACAAUUAAAAAGAGAUCAACAGGAUAGUUAUUAAGGUGAGCCUGGUUGUACGGCGUUCUUAAUAAUGAAAUUUAAAUAGUGCAGCUAUGGAUGUAGAUAUUGGUGUGGCAGUAUGUAUGGACAGGAGUUCGAUUCUCCUCAUCUCCAUUA
The sequence is a non-coding RNA, 368 nucleotides long. It matches the Rfam family "transfer-messenger RNA". Rfam says of the family: Bacterial tmRNA, also known as 10Sa RNA or SsrA, is named for its dual tRNA and mRNA-like properties. Its role is to liberate the mRNA from a stalled ribosome. The record is from Rfam.